Molecule: long non-coding RNA, 1431 nt
Organism: Brassica oleracea var. oleracea
Lineage: Eukaryota; Viridiplantae; Streptophyta; Magnoliopsida; Brassicales; Brassicaceae
Exons: 4
Source: RefSeq, a predicted model, not a curated record
CAUUUGGGUACGAGACGAUCAAUCUUCCUCAAGGUUUCUGAAACUGAGUGCGUUAUGGAUUCGUACAGUUCUUCAAUGCUUUGUUUGCAAUGGCGAGGAUCUGUGAUAUCAUGUAUAAAAAAGUCAGUAUUUUUCUUCUGAAAAUCACGAUCUCUUCAUCGGACCUGGAAUCAAUCCACCGUCUCUCACCUGCGAUCAUUGCAUGAAGACGAAGUCGUUGCCGUGACGUUCGAUAUUCACUUCACCACCUCUGGUCAAUCAAGACGUGAUGGUUUAGGGGUGCAUUUCAAUCAACUUAAUUAUGCUUCUGCUCCUUACCUCCGUUGCCAAAACUGUAAAGGAAAUCUUCUGCGAGGGAUCGAGUCUUCUGCGUUUUUAGGGGCAAGCAGCAACGGAUUAGCGAUAGUCCUCCUGAUCCAAUCAAGCUUUUAUCCACUUCCCUCAACAAACGGUUUCUCAGUCCUCCUGAUCCAAUCAAGCUUACCUUCACUUCAUCCUACAAACGGUUUCUCAUCUCUCUUAAUUUAGAUGGAUAGAAACCGUUUGGCGUGUAAGUAUAUUGAAGAAUGGGUAAACUAUUAAAGAGGUGACGGAGAAGUUCGUUGAGAGAUACAGUAACAUUAAAUUUCUGCAAGGCUAUGGCUUGACUGAGACGGCGGCUAUAGUUGCUUCUAUGUUUACUAAAGAGGAGACUGAGAGGUACGGAUCCUCUGGUUUGCUUGCUCCGAACAUGGAUGGUAAGAUUGUGGAUCCGGAUACGGGUCGGGUCUUGGGGGUGCAUCGAACCGGGGAGCUCUGGCUCCGGAGUCCUACCGUGAUGAAAUGUGAUUGGUUCUUUUCGAAAAGGUGUUUUUGUUUUUGGUAUGAAACUGUUUUGAGUUGUUUUUAAAAGGUUAUUUUAAGAAUGAGGAAGCUACUGCAUCUACUAUUGAUUCAUAAGGAUAGUUGAAGACUGGAGAUUUGUGUUACAUUGACGGUGAAGGUUCUGUCUUUGUUGUUGAUAGAUUAAAGGAGUUUAUCAAAUGCAAUGGUUAUCAGGUUGCUCCAGCUGAGCUUGAAGCAUUGUUGUUUGCUCAUCCAGAGAUUGCUGAUGCAUCAUAUCCCUGACUUGAAAGCUGGGCAAUAUCCAAUGGCAUAUAUCGCAAGAACAGCUGGAAGUAACUUAUCCGAAAAAUCCCUCUGGCAAAAUUUUAAGAAGAGAACUUAUAAAUCUCACAAACUCGAAGCUCUAGCAAACCACUCUAUCUUACACUUCACAGUUAGUUAACUCAUUUAUUUGGUUAACCGAUUAUUUAUUUCUCUUACAUAAAUCUCUGUCAAAACUGAAUAUUGAUUUUGCUCAGCCUGUGAGUUCUCUCCUCUCCCUGUGUCGACGUGUUCCUCUUCUUGGUGUCUCUGUUUCUCAUAUCUGCUAUUGUUGAUUUUGUCUAG